GAUGAAGAACGUAGCGAACGUGCGAAACGUAAUGUGAAUUGCAGAAUUCAGUGAAACAUCGAAUCUUUGAACGCAUCUUGCGCUCCUUGGUAUUCCGAGGAGCAUGCCUGUUUGAGUGUCGUGAAUACUCUCAACUUCAACCCUUUUUUCGGAAAGGGAGGAAGGUUGGACUUGGGUGUUUGUUGAAGUGCGAGCUUCGACUCAUCCUAAAUGCAUUAGCGAUCUGCCUCGAUCACACACAAUGUGAUAAUUAAAACUAAAGCAUUGUUUAAUGAUCAAGUCGAGACUGCUUCUAACUGUCGCAAGACAAUAACGUGCAUACAUUUGUGCAUGUCAUUUGACCUCAAAUCAGGUAGGACUACCCGCUGAACUUAAGCAUAUCAAUAAGCGGAGGA
This 395-nucleotide unclassified non-coding RNA is filed under the name soil metagenome. Its description in RNAcentral is "partial contains 5.8S ribosomal RNA, internal transcribed spacer 2, and large subunit ribosomal RNA". The stretch from base 1 to 121 matches the Rfam family "5.8S ribosomal RNA", at positions 35 to 154 of the family's 154-position model. The record is from RNAcentral.